This 471-nucleotide ribosomal RNA is filed under the name Staphylococcus aureus. RNAcentral's name for it is "partial 23S ribosomal RNA". It matches the Rfam family "Bacterial large subunit ribosomal RNA", at positions 1089 to 1561 of the family's 2925-position model. The record is from RNAcentral. Lineage: Bacteria; Bacillati; Bacillota; Bacilli; Caryophanales; Staphylococcaceae.
ACAACUAGGAUGUUGGCUUAGAAGCAGCCAUCAUUUAAAGAGUGCGUAAUAGCUCACUAGUCGAGUGACACUGCGCCGAAAAUGUACCGGGGCUAAACAUAUUACCGAAGCUGUGGAUUGUCCUUUGGACAAUGGUAGGAGAGCGUUCUAAGGGCGUUGAAGCAUGAUCGUAAGGACAUGUGGAGCGCUUAGAAGUGAGAAUGCCGGUGUGAGUAGCGAAAGACGGGUGAGAAUCCCGUCCACCGAUUGACUAAGGUUUCCAGAGGAAGGCUCGUCCGCUCUGGGUUAGUCGGGUCCUAAGCUGAGGCCGACAGGCGUAGGCGAUGGAUAACAGGUUGAUAUUCCUGUACCACCUAUAAUCGUUUUAAUCGAUGGGGGGACGCAGUAGGAUAGGCGAAGCGUGCGAUUGGAUUGCACGUCUAAGCAGUAAGGCUGAGUAUUAGGCAAAUCCGGUACUCGUUAAGGCUGAGC